UUGCCCACCGGGGCCGUGGAUACCUGCUUCAUUUUU
This 36-nucleotide non-coding RNA is filed under the name Microtus transcaspicus. RNAcentral describes it as "XIST RNA A repeat". It matches the Rfam family "XIST RNA A repeat". Lineage: Eukaryota; Metazoa; Chordata; Mammalia; Rodentia; Cricetidae. The record is from Rfam by way of RNAcentral.